UUUUAUGGCGGCUGUGUGCGGGCGGACUUCGGUCUGGCCGGGUUCCUUUUGCCGGUAAUCUCACACCGCACAUAGCUGCCACCUCU
This 86-nucleotide non-coding RNA is filed under the name Pseudomonas arsenicoxydans. Lineage: Bacteria; Pseudomonadati; Pseudomonadota; Gammaproteobacteria; Pseudomonadales; Pseudomonadaceae. The record is from RNAcentral.